Molecule: ribosomal RNA, 484 nt
Filed under: uncultured bacterium
Lineage: Bacteria
Description: partial 16S ribosomal RNA
Rfam family: Bacterial small subunit ribosomal RNA
Source: RNAcentral
AUUGAACGCUGGCGGCAGGCCUAACACAUGCAAGUCGAGCGGAUGAAGGGAGCUUGCUCCUGGAUUCAGCGGCGGACGGGUGAGUAAUGCCUAGGAAUCUGCCUGGUAGUGGGGGAUAACGUCCGGAAACGGGCGCUAAUACCGCAUACGUCCUGAGGGAGAAAGUGGGGGAUCUUCGGACCUCACGCUAUCAGAUGAGCCUAGGUCGGAUUAGCUAGUUGGUGGGGUAAAGGCCUACCAAGGCGACGAUCCGUAACUGGUCUGAGAGGAUGAUCAGUCACACUGGAACUGAGAAACGGUCCAGACACCGACGGGAGGAAGCAGUGGGGAAUAUUGGACAAGGGGCGAAAGCCUGAUCCAGCCAUGCCGCGUGUGUGAAGAAGGUCUUCGGAUUGUAAAGCACUUUAAGUUGGGAGGAAGGGAAGUAAGUUAAUACCUUGCUGUUUUGACGUUACCAACAGAAUAAGCACCGGCUAACUUCGUG